UAGCAAUACCCAGUCGAGCGGCGAACGGGUGAGUAACGCGUGGAUUAUCUGCCCUGAGGUGGGGGAUAACCCGGGGAAACUCGGGCUAAUACCGCAUGAUACCGAGAGGUCAAAGGGGGCCGCAAGGCUUCCGCCAUAGGAGGAGUCCGCGUUCGAUUAGCUAGUUGGUAGGGUAAUGGCCUACCAAGGCCACGAUCGAUAGCCGGCCUGAGAGGGUGAUCGGCCACACUGGAACUGAGACACGGUCCAGACUCCUACGGGAGGCAGCAGUGGGGAAUUUUGCGCAAUGGGCGAAAGCCUGACGCAGCAACGCCGCGUGGAGGAUGAAGGUCCUUGGAUUGUAAACUCCUGUCAGCAGGGAAAAAGCAAAUCGGCCUAAUACGCCGGUGAGUUGAUUGUACCUGCAGAGGAAGCCCCGGCUAACUCUGUGCCAGCAGCCGCGGUAAUACAGAGGGGGCAAGCGUUAUUCGGAAUUAUUGGGCGUAAAGGGCGCGUAGGCGGCUUGGCAAGUGGAAGGUGAAAUCCCUCGGCUUAACCGAGGAACUGCCCUCCAAACUGCUUUGCUUGAGGCCGGGAGAGGUGAGUGGAAUUCCCAGUGUAGCGGUGAAAUGCGUAGAUAUUGGGAGGAACACCAGUGGCGAAGGCGGCUCACUGGACCGGUUCUGACGCUGAGGCGCGAAAGCGUGGGGAGCAAACGGGAUUAGAUACCCCGGUAGUCCACGCCGUAAACGAUGAGUGCUUGGUGUAGCGGGUAUCGACCCCUGCUGUGCCGAAGUCAACACAUUAAGCACUCCGCCUGGGGAGUACGGUCGCAAGGCUGAAACUC
Molecule: ribosomal RNA, 826 nt
Filed under: uncultured Acidobacteriota bacterium
Lineage: Bacteria; Pseudomonadati; Acidobacteriota
Description: bacterial SSU rRNA
Rfam family: Bacterial small subunit ribosomal RNA
Source: RNAcentral